UUGGAGGGCAAGUCUGGUGCCAGCAGCCGCGGUAAUUCCAGCUCCAAUAGCGUAUAUUAAAGUUGUUGCAGUUAAAAAGCUCGUAGUUGAAUUUCGGGAUUAGUACGCUGGUCGUGCCUUCGGUACGUACUGGUGUUACUGAUUUCUACCUUCUGACGAACCAUCAUGUCAUUAAUUUGGUGUGGUGGGGAAUCAGGACUGUUACUUUGAAAAAAUUAGAGUGUUUAAAGCAGGCUCGCGCUUGAAUACAUUAGCAUGGAAUAAUGAAAUAGGACGUUGAUCCUAUUUUGUUGGUUUCUAGGAUUGACGUAAUGAUUAAUAGGGAUAGUUGGGGGCAUUAGUAUUCAAUUGUCAGAGGUGAAAUUCUUGGAUUUAUUGAAGACUAACUACUGCGAAAGCAUUUGCCAAGGAUGUUUUCAUUAAUCAAGAACGAAAGUUAGGGGAUCGAAGACGAUCAGAUACCGUCGUAGUCCUAACCAUAAACUAUGCCGACUAGGGAUCGGAUGAUGUUAUUUUUAAUGACUCAUUCGGCGCCUUACGGGAAAC
RNAcentral lists this ribosomal RNA (546 nucleotides) under uncultured Glomeromycotina. RNAcentral describes it as "SSU rRNA". It matches the Rfam family "Eukaryotic small subunit ribosomal RNA", at positions 548 to 1098 of the family's 1831-position model. The record is from RNAcentral. Lineage: Eukaryota; Fungi; Glomeromycota.